GACGAACGCUGGCGGCGUGCCUAAUACAUGCAAGUUGAGCGCUGAAGGUUGGUACUUGUACCAACUGGAUGAGCAGCGAACGGGUGAGUAACGCGUGGGGAAUCUGCCUUUGAGCGGGGGACAACAUUUGGAAACGAAUGCUAAUACCGCAUAAAAACUUUAAACACAAGUUUUAAGUUUGAAAGAUGCAAUUGCAUCACUCAAAGAUGAUCCCGCGUUGUAUUAGCUAGUUGGUGAGGUAAAGGCUCACCAAGGCGAUGAUACAUAGCCGACCUGAGAGGGUGAUCGGCCACAUUGGGACUGAGACACGGCCCAAACUCCUACGGGAGGCAGCAGUAGGGAAUCUUCGGCAAUGGACGAAGUCUGACCGAGCAACGCCGCGUGAGUGAAGAAGGUUUUCGGAUCGUAAAACUCUGUUGGUAGAGAAGAACGUUGGUGAGAGUGGAAAGCUCAUCAAGUGACGGUAACUACCCAGAAAGGGACGGCUAACUACGUG
This 496-nucleotide ribosomal RNA is filed under the name uncultured bacterium. Its description in RNAcentral is "partial 16S ribosomal RNA". It matches the Rfam family "Bacterial small subunit ribosomal RNA", at positions 28 to 507 of the family's 1533-position model. The record is from RNAcentral.